Quercus lobata is the source of this 5704-nucleotide RNA transcript. RefSeq lists it as uncharacterized. Lineage: Eukaryota; Viridiplantae; Streptophyta; Magnoliopsida; Fagales; Fagaceae. The record is from RefSeq and is a predicted model, not a curated record. The transcript is spliced from 3 exons.
CUCUGUGUAAGCAAAAGCGUGAGUCCCUAGUUUUUCAGUUUUGUGAGCGUGUGCGUGUGUUGUUAGGUACAGAUAUGGAGGCUGCAGCGAGAGAACACGUUGAAGAGAUACGUAGAAAAAAGUUCUCCAUUGGAGGGGAACAGAACCCAUUAACUGAGGAUCUUCAUCAAGCUGUCAAGAACCUCUCUGCUGAGCUUUAUGCCAAGGAUGUACAUUUUCUCAUGGAACUCAUUCAGAAUGCUGAAGAUAAUGAUUACUUGGAGGGAGUGGAUCCAUCUCUUGAGUUUGUCAUAACUUCUGAGGACAUUACAAACGCAGCGGCCCCAGCAACAUUGCUGAUUUUCAACAAUGAGAAAGGUUUCUCAUCGAAAAACAUUGACUCUAUUUGCAGUGUUGGUCGGUCCACCAAGAAAGGCAACAGGAAACGUGGUUAUAUUGGAGAGAAAGGAAUUGGAUUUAAGAGUGUCUUUCUGGUUAGUUCUCAGCCAUACAUAUUCAGCAAUGGAUAUCAAAUACGAUUCAAUGAAGAGCCUUGCCCACAUUGCAAUCUCGGGUACAUAGUUCCUGAAUGGGUCGAGGAGAACCCAACACUAUCUGACAUCAAAAAAAUAUAUGGUUCUGGGACUACUCUACCAACAACAACAAUAGUCUUACCUCUGAAGUUCGAUAAGGUCAAACCUGUGAAGCAGCAGCUCUCAAAUGUUCAUCCUGAAGUCCUAUUGUUCCUAUCAAAGAUUAGGCGGCUUUCAGUCAGGGAACAUAACAACGAUCCCAGGCUCAAUACUGUAAGUGCAAUAGCAAUUACAAGUGAGACUGAAUUGGUGGUGAAGAAGAACAUUGAUGCUGUGUCCUACACAAUCCAUCUCUCUGCUGAUGAAAAGGGUAAGGAGUCUGAGGGAGAAUGCAGGUACUUUAUGUGGAGGCAAAAGUUUCCUGUCAGGCAGGAAAACAAAGUGGAAAGGAGAACGGAAGUUGAAGAGUUGGUGAUCACAUUGGCUUUUCCUUUUGAAGAGCGCCUCCAUAGGGGAAUGAGCUCACCUGGGAUCUAUGCAUUUCUUCCCACAGAGAUGUUUACCAACUUUCCCUUCAUAAUUCAGGCAGAUUUUCUUCUUGCCUCAUCAAGGGAAACAAUUCUCUUAGACAACAAGUGGAACCAGGGGAUUCUUGACUGCGUGCCCUCUGCUUUUAUCAAUGCGUUUGUUUCACUAGUUAAAAAUACUGAAAAUGCUCCAGUGUCUAGUUUAGCUUCCAUGUUCAGGUUCAUUCCCAUCGACAGCUCAUCUUAUCAAACGUUGAAUGUUGUCAGGGAGUCGAUCAAAUCAAAGCUUCUUGAAGAAAGUAUUCUUCCAAGUGAGUCUUAGACACCGCAGAAGAUCUUUCAUAAACCUCAUGAAGUUGGUAGGCUUAUGCCUGCUUUCUGGACCAUUCUGGAGAAGGCAAGGGAGCAAAAGGUGAGUUUGUUUCAUCUUUCAUCACAUGGAAAGUACAUUUUGAGCUCCUCAUUUGAUAGAGCAGAAUAUGAUUACAUAUUGAAUUUCUUGGGUGUGGAACUAGUCAACAACGAAUGGUAUGCAAAGUGCAUCCAAAGUUCUAAACUUGUUGAAGGAGUGUCAGAGGACGUGUACUUGGAGCUUUUGCUAUUUGUUGCAGAUAACUGGAAGUCCAAAUUUGACUCUACCGACAUAAAGUACAUACAGCUAAUAAAAUAUGUGGGUCUUUAUGGCGAUGUGUCUUUGUGUAGCAUAAAUGAAUCCAUGCAUUUCAAUCGUGACAGAGUGGUGUCCUUAUCCCGUCAUCCUGAUCAUAUCUCAUGGCUGAUUGAUUGGAACAGGGAAUUCAUAUGUCCAGCCAAUUACUUUUUUUGGCCGAAAAGCACACAAGUAGCUAUUCAGUUCUUCUCUAAGAGGGAGACGGUGUUGGAGUGGCUACGAGAUCAUGUGAAGGUUGGUGCUAUGAGCGUCUAUGAAUAUGCAGUUCAUCUUAACAAUCAUCUCAAUAGUUGCCAGAAGCGUGCUAUUGCCUUUGUUCACUUCUUGUACCACUCGCUUCAAAAGUCUUUUCUUUCCCAUCAGGAGGUUGGUGAUUUAUGUGAUUCUAUGCCACUUGUGGAUAACUAUGGAAAUUUACGGAGACACAGGACAAGGGUUCUUGUCCCUGCCAACGGAAGCAAAUGGGUGGGAUUGAUUGGUUCAAAUCCAUGGACAAAUGAAGGCUACGUUGAGUUAGCAGAAGACUACUUGCUACCAGGCUAUUUUGCCGGUGAAUAUGCCUCUGGAGAAAGACUCUUGGAGUUCCUUAAAACUCAUGUUGUAGCGUCUGAUAUCCCUUACAUAUCUCCUCCUAAUGCUGCAAUUCCUACUGUAUCAUCACCACUCACCAAGCAAAAUGCAUUCUUGCUGUUGGAUUGGAUUCGGAAUCUGAAACGUAGAGAAAUUUACAUUCCUGAGAAGUUCUUGAAAUGCAUAAAGGAAGGUAGCUGGCUGAAAAUUACUACCAGUGGAUGUCCUGGUUACCGGCCACCUUCACAGUCAUUCAUGCUUUCCUCUUCAUUGGGAAACAUUUUGCAGAGUGGAUCCGUUCUUGUUGAUAUUCCAUUGCUUGAUCUAAGUUUUUAUGGUGAUGAAUUAAAUGAGUACAAGGAGGAGCUGAAGAAACUUGGAGUCAUGUCUGAGUAUGGUGAAGCAUGUGAAUUUAUUGGAAAGCAUCUUAUGUCUUUCACAGAGUACUCCACUUUAAGUAGAGACCAAGUGCUGUCUGUACUAAAUUUCAUCAGAUUUUUGAGGGAAAAGUUUCUCCCUCAGGAUGAGUUCAUCAACAGUAUCAAGGAUAAGAGAUGGAUAAGGACAUGCUGUGGUGACAGGUCUCCAGUUGAAGCUGUUUUGUUUGAUGAGGAAUGGAAAAGUGCAUUACAAAUCAGUUGCAUCCCCUUUAUUGAUCUAGAUUACUUUGGAGAGGAAAUCCUUUCUUUUAGAGAGGAACUCAAGUCACUUGGUGUUGUAAUUGGCUUCGGUGAUUGUUAUAAGCUUGUUGUAGACAACUUAAAAUCUCCUUUAAGCUCAUCUCUGACAGCUGAGGCAGUUCUUUUGAUACUGGAAUGUAUGCGACGUCUAGGAUCAUCCGACAAACUUGUUCAGGCGUUGAGAGGUGUGAAAUGCUUUAAGACGAAUCUUGGGUACAAACCUCCGGGAGAAUGUUUCUUGGUUGACCCUCAAUGGGUUUGCAUUCUUCAUGUUUUUGAAGGUUUUGCAUUGAUUGAUCAUGAUUUCCAUGGAAGCUGUAUCUUCUCUUACAGAAAUGAGUUGAAGCAAACUGGGGUGAAGGUGGAUUUUGAGGAGGCGGUAAAAGAAUUUUCUGACAAAUUCAAGCUGGAGGCAUCCUUCAUGACUAAAGAAAUUGUUCUCUCUUUUCUUUCAUGUCAGAGACAGCUAAAAGAUAGUCCUUUUGUGUUUCCUCCAGAUCUUGAGAAAAACAUCCGUGACCUUAAGUGGUUGCAGACUAGGUGUGGUGAUAGAAGAUCUCCAAGAGAUUGCAUUCUUUUUGGGCCAGAUUGGCAUUCAGUUUUACCAAUUACUAUUGACCUCCCUUUCUUAGAUGAUAGUGACAAUUACUAUGGCAAGGACAUUCAUUUAUACAAGGAAGAGCUGAAGAGCAUGGGAGUUGCUGUUGAAUUUAAAGAUGGUGUGAAGUUUGUUGCAGCUGGUCUUCACUUUCCCUUGGAUCCUGCUCAGAUAACUGAUGAAAAUGUGUUUUCAUUGCUGCAAUGCAUACGUGUUUUAAUCCAAGGAGUGAAUUACUCCUUUCCAGAUCCAUUCUUAAAACAAAAUUCUCGGAAAUGGUUGAAGACCACUAAAGGUUAUAGACCUCCAGAAAAAUGCUUAUUGUUCGAUCCUAGAUGGGGCUCUUAUUUGGAGCGGACAGAUGGACCUUUUAUUGAUGAAGAUUUUUAUGGUUCUAAUAUUACACUGUACAAAGAAGAACUCAAGGCAAUAGGAGUCACCCUUGAUGUUGAAGACGGAUGCUCAUUGAUUGCCAGGCACCUCGAACUCCAUUUCCAAUACCCUACUAUAGUUCGAAUAUAUAAUUACUUGAGUCUAUGUAAUUGGGAGAAUGACAGUGAACUUACAAAAGGGAUAUGGAUCCCAUAUGGAAAUAAGAAUGGAGAGUGGGUCAGCCCCUGUGAAUGCGUUCUGCACGACAAGGAUGGUCUCUUCAGUUCGCAGCUGAAAGUUCUUGACAAAUAUUAUGAGCAAAAGUUACUCAACUUCUUCUCACAUGCUUUCCGUGUUAAAUGCAAUCCUUCGGUUGCUGAUUACUGUAAGCUUUGGGAGGUUUGGGAAAGAUCAGGACGUCGAUUGUCACAUGAUGACUGUCUUAAGUUCUGGGGGUAUAUUUUGAAGCACUGGGGUGAAAAGACUGAGAAAACUGUCACUGAGAAGCUGGUGAAAUUGCCGGUUGCUUCUGGCUCGGAUGAAGUUUUGCUGUUCAACAAGCGUGAUGUUUUUAUUGCUGAUGAUCUUCAACUGAAAGAUCUUUUCGAACGGUUUUCUGCUCAAUCUCUAUUUGUCUGGUACCCUCAGCCAAGCAAGCCUUCUUUACCUCAGAUGAAGUUGUUUGAUAUUUACAGGAAGAUUGGUGUUCGCACUAUAUCCGAGUCUGUAGAGAAGGAAGAAUCAUACGCAGUGGAUGUUGCUCAACUCAAUCAGGUGAAUCCAAAGGAGAAUUUGAUUACAAAAUAUCUGGUUACACUCAUCCUUGGUUUUCUAGCAAAUCCUGUGAUGAAAAUGGAAGCUGAAAGGAGGCAUGAAAUAAUCAGAGGGCUUCUGAAUAUUACUUUCCUUGAGAUAGUUGAACCGAUAAGCGUAAAGUACAGUUUAUCACUUUCUUCAGGGGAGAUCGUGAAUGCAAGAACAAGCCGAAUGAUACGCUGGGAUAGAGAGUCUUCAAAGUUUUUCACACAGAAGUUGGACAGGUAUAGUGGAUAUGAGAAUCAAAUUGAAUAUGCUACAUAUUUUUCUGAAGCAAUAUCUGAGGGUGUGUUAUGGGAGAACUGCGAUCAUAUUGGUGCACUCUCUGAACUGAUCAAGCUGGCCUUCGUGCUGGAAUUUGAUGAGAAAGCAGUUAGGUUUUUAAUGAAGUCCAAGAAUAUGCAAAUAUACUUGGAGGAUGAGGAGUUCAUUGCAUCUGUCUUUCCUUCUGACUGGUUAGAUAUAUACCAUGGACUGUUAAUAUUUGUAAGUGUUUCUUUCAUAUUUCUUUUAUGUUUCUUUGUGUUUUUCGCGUAAAUGUCAAAACUCAAAAGAAUGAAUCAGUUGCUGCUAUUGUGAUUUUAAUGGUCAUUCAUGUGGUGUUAACCUUAUAUUGUUUUGUCCUAGAUUUUCCUUUGUAUUUCUAUCUUGGGGGUGAUACUCUUGUAAUUCUGAACUAAAUGGUAAUGUUUGGCAUUGGCAUGUAUAUAUAUUUUUGGGCCUUAAGUUUCGGCUUUUUGGAUUUUGUUGAGCGGUGGACCAAAACAUGGUCUUUGACAUAUAUGGCCUUUUAAUAAUUUUAAGUAUAUUAUCAUACUUUUAAUAUUUCCAAGUUAAUUUUGUUCUUUAUUUUUCUUUUAAGUAAUUAAAUGACUUGUUGUGGCAUCUCAGAUUGUAUGGAUUUGCUGAAUGUAUAUUGUGUUAUAUACAUGAUUAAGAGGAGUUCUUAUUUGUAAUGU